RNAcentral lists this long non-coding RNA (404 nucleotides) under Zonotrichia albicollis (white-throated sparrow). RNAcentral describes it as "lncRNA (ENSZALG00000015751.1)". Lineage: Eukaryota; Metazoa; Chordata; Aves; Passeriformes; Passerellidae. The record is from RNAcentral.
CCCUUCUGGGGCUGCCCCCCCUUUCUUGUUGCAGCAGAAUCCCUUUCUGCGGGGAUGGACGUGUGCAAAGGGCUUGGAGGAAGCGCUGCGCUGCUGUCCGGGGCAGUCGGACUCGUUCUGUGCCUUCUUUGGGGCUCAGGGAAAGGGGGUGAAGACUCGGGGCUCUGAUGCCUUUUGGGGCAUCCCAAGGUCCCCAGGAGAGGGAACCCCACUGCGGUGCAGGAGCAGGGUCUGGGGGAACACCUGGAUUCGCGCUUGGAUACGUGGAGCAUCGCUUAAAGGAGGUGCCGAGGGACGAGUCUUUGUGCCGGGGAGCAGCAGCCGAACAGGUCCGUGCUGGUUGCCGUGUCCUCGGUGGGCAGAGAGCUCUGGCCUUGGCCGGAUGGGCUGACAGCCAGUUCUGA